GACGAACGCUGGCGGCGUGCUUAACACAUGCAAGUCGAACGGAAAGGCCCUGCUUUUGUGGGGUGCUCGAGUGGCGAACGGGUGAGUAACACGUGAGUAACCUGCCCUUGACUUUGGGAUAACUUCAGGAAACUGGGGCUAAUACCGGAUAGGAGCUCCUGCUGCACGGUGGGGGUUGGAAAGUUUCGGCGGUUGGGGAUGGACUCGAGGCUUAUCAGCUUGUUGGUGGGGUAGUGGCUUACCAAGGCUUUGACGGGUAGCCGGCCUGAGAGGGUGACCGGCCACAUUGGGACUGAGAUAGGGCCCAGACGCCUACGGGAGGCAGCAGUGGGGAAUAUUGCACAAUGGGGGGAAGCCAGAUGCAGCAACGCCGCGAGCGGGAUAACGGCCUUCGGGUUGUAAACCGCUUUCGCAUGUGACGAAGCGUGAGUGACGGUAAUGGGUAAAGAAGCACCGGCUAACUACGUG
This 468-nucleotide ribosomal RNA is filed under the name uncultured bacterium. RNAcentral describes it as "partial 16S ribosomal RNA". It matches the Rfam family "Bacterial small subunit ribosomal RNA", at positions 28 to 507 of the family's 1533-position model. The record is from RNAcentral.